This 104-nucleotide unclassified non-coding RNA is filed under the name uncultured fungus. RNAcentral's name for it is "sequence contains ITS1". The record is from RNAcentral. Lineage: Eukaryota; Fungi.
CCAACCUUUUGGUGAGGCCAGGACUCGUCCAUGGUCUCGCAAAACCUGUAUUUAAAACCCGCACGUAUAACCAAAAAACAUGUAGUAUGAUAAGUAAAUUAAGA